Molecule: long non-coding RNA, 1584 nt
Filed under: Bemisia tabaci
Lineage: Eukaryota; Metazoa; Arthropoda; Insecta; Hemiptera; Aleyrodidae
Description: lncRNA ENSSSA2NGG005083
Source: RNAcentral
UGUCUUCCUGUCUAUUGUCGUAUGAAAAUGCUCAUCAUGUUUUCAAGCACAGCAUUUUGCUAAUGUGUAAGUAUAAAACCUCGUUUUUUUCUCCAGACUUUUUCUCCAUUUUCUAAACUGCAAGCAUUAAAAUUACAGGAUACGCUCCUGUUCAAAACUACAAGUCCAACAAGGAAACACCUCAUAAAUGUUACUGUAAUUAUUGUUAAUUACUCCAGUCACUGAAAAUUUAAAAGCUCGAAUGAUCACCGCUUCAGGUGUCUGCUGAAAAUACCCCAUGAAAUGCAUCUUUUCAUGCAAAGAAUAUUCAAAUUGUUAUUAAAAAAAUUUCCUUGUUUGUUCACAGAUGCUGCAUAAUCGGCAGAUCGUAAUAUUUUAUGAAUCAUCACACAUUGAAAACCUGUCUUCCUGUCUUUUGUCGUAUGAAAAUGCUCAUCAUGUUUUCAAGCACAGCAUUUUGCUAAUGUAUGCUGCAUAAUCGGCAGAUCGUAAAUAUUUUAAGAAUCAUCUUACAUUGAAAACCUUUCUUUUUCCGUAUGAAAAUGCUCAUCAUGUUUUCAAGCACAGCAUUUUGCUAAUGUGUAAGUAUAAAACCUCGUUUUUUUCUCCAGACUUUUUCUCCAUUUUCUAAACUGCAAGCAUUAAAUUACCGGAUACGCUUCUGUUCAAAAAGUACAAGUCCAACAAGGAAACACCUUAUAAAUGUUACUGUAAUUAUUGUUAAUUACUCCAGUCACUGAAAAUUUAAAAGCUCGAAUGAUCACCGCUUCAGGUGUCUGCUGAAAAUACCCCAUGAAAUGCAUCUUUUCAUGCAAAAAUAUUAAAAUUGUUAUUAAAAAAUUUCCUUGUUUGUUCACAGAUGCUGCAUAAUCGGCAGAUCGUAAAUAUUUUAUGAAUCAUCACACAUUGAAAACCUGUCUUCCUGUCUUUUGUCGUAUGAAAAUUCUCAUCAUGUUUUCAAGCACAGCAUUUUGCUAAUGUGUAAGUAUAAAACCUCGUUUUUUUCUCCAGACUUUUUCUCCAUUUUCUAAACUGCAAGAAUCAAAAUUACAGGAUACGCUUCUGUUCAUAAAGUACAAGUCCAACAAGGAAACACCUCAUAAAUGUUACUGUAAUUAUUGUUAAUUACUCCAGUCACUGAAAAUUUAAAAGAUUCUUCAUCAAGUCAUUUAAAGACUCUAGGGAAAUGUCGAAUGAUCACCACUUCAGGUGUCUGCUGAAUAUACCCCAUGAAAUGCAUCUUUUCAUGCAAAGAAUAUUAAAAUUUUUAUUAAAAAAAUUUCCUUGUUUGUUCACAGAUGCUGCAUAAUCGGCAGAUCGUAAAUAUUUUAUGAAUCAUCACAUUGAAAACCUGUCUUCCUGUUUUUUAUGUAUGAAAAUGCUCACCAUGUUUUCAAGCACAGCAUUUUGCUAAUGUGUAAGUAUAAAACCUCGUUUUUUUCUCCAGACUUUUUCUCCAUUUUCUAAACUGCAAGAAUCAAAAUUACAGGAUACUCUCCUGUUCAAAAAGUACAAGUCAAACAAGGAAACAACCCACAAUAUUAAUGUAAUUAUUGUUAAUUACUCCAUGUACUGACAGUUUUA